This 263-nucleotide ribosomal RNA is filed under the name uncultured bacterium. RNAcentral describes it as "partial 16S ribosomal RNA". It matches the Rfam family "Bacterial small subunit ribosomal RNA", at positions 29 to 289 of the family's 1533-position model. The record is from RNAcentral.
AUUAACGCUAGCGGCAGGCAUAAUACAUGCAAGUUGAACGGCAGCACAGGUAGCAAUACUGGGUGGCGAGUGGCGCACGGGUGCGUAACACGUAUGCAACCUACCCUAUACAGGCGAAUAACCUUUAGAAAUGAGGGCUAAUACGCCGUAGUAUUACAGAUGGGCAUCUAUUUGUAAUUAAAGAUUUAUCGGUAUAGGAUGGGCAUGCGUCCCAUUAGUUAGUUGGUAGGGUAACGGCUUACCAAGACGAUGAUGGGUAGGGG